RNAcentral lists this transfer RNA (83 nucleotides) under Geotrichum candidum. Its description in RNAcentral is "transfer RNA-Ser (CGA)". It matches the Rfam family "tRNA". From Rfam's summary of the family: Transfer RNA (tRNA) molecules are approximately 80 nucleotides in length. The record is from RNAcentral. Lineage: Eukaryota; Fungi; Ascomycota; Dipodascomycetes; Dipodascales; Dipodascaceae.
GGCAUUAUGGCCGAGUGGUUAAGGCGAUUGACUCGAAUUAUCAAUUGGGAUUUCCCGCGCAGGUUCAAAUCCUGCUGAUGUCG